AUGGCUCAGAUUGAACGCUGGCGGCGUGCUUAACACAUGCAAGUCGUGCGAGAAAGGUCCUUCGGGGACUGAGUAGAGCGGCGCACGGGUGAGUAACGCGUGGGUGACCUACCCAGGAGACCGGGAUAACAGUGGGAAACUGCUGCUAAUACCGGGUACGCUUCAUAUUUCACGUAUGGGGGAAAGCGGCCUCUGCUUGCAAGCUGCCACUCUUGGAUGGGCCCGCGUCUUAUUAGCUUGUUGGUAGGGUAACGGCCUACCAAGGCGACGAUGAGUAGCUGGUCUGAGAGGAUGAUCAGCCACACUGGGACUGGAACACGGCCCAGACUCCUACGGGAGGCAGCAGUGGGGAAUAUUGCGCAAUGGGCGAAAGCCUGACGCAGCGACGCCGCGUGAAGGGGAAGAAGGCCUUCGGGUCGUAAACCUCUGUCAGGAGGGAAGAAACCAUGGGAGUCGAACAGGCUCUCGUGCUGACGGUACCUCCGGAGGAAGCACCGGCUAACUCCGUGCCAGCCGCGGC
Molecule: ribosomal RNA, 520 nt
Filed under: uncultured bacterium
Lineage: Bacteria
Description: bacterial SSU rRNA
Rfam family: Bacterial small subunit ribosomal RNA
Source: RNAcentral